GACGAACGCUGGCGGCGUGCUUAACACAUGCAAGUCGAACGGCAAGGCCCUGCUUUUGUGGGGUGCUCGAGUGGCGAACGGGUGAGUAACACGUGAGUAUCCGGCCCUUGACUUUGGGAUAACUUCAGGAAACUGGGGCUAAUCCCAGAUCGGAGAUCCUGCUGCAUGGUGGGGGUGGGAACGUUUCGGCGGUUGGGGAUGGACUCGCGGAUUAUCGGCUUGUUGGUGGGGUAGUGGCUUACCAAGGCAUUGACGGGUAGCCGGCCUGAGAGGGUGACCGGCCACAUUGGUACUGAGGUACGGCCCAGACUGGUACGGUGGGCAGCAGGGGGGAAUAUUGCCCAAUGGGCGGAAGCCGGAUGCAGCAACGCCGCGUGCGGGAUGACGGCCUUCGGGUUAUAAACCGCUUUCGCCUGUGACGAAGCUGUAGUGACGGUAAUGGGUAAAGAAGCACCGGCUAACUACGUG
This 468-nucleotide ribosomal RNA is filed under the name uncultured bacterium. RNAcentral describes it as "partial 16S ribosomal RNA". It matches the Rfam family "Bacterial small subunit ribosomal RNA", at positions 28 to 507 of the family's 1533-position model. The record is from RNAcentral.